This is a non-coding RNA of Lolium perenne, 2676 nucleotides long. The record is from RefSeq and is a predicted model, not a curated record. Lineage: Eukaryota; Viridiplantae; Streptophyta; Magnoliopsida; Poales; Poaceae.
AAAUUUUGUUGCUUCUCUCACAUGCAACCAAGCUACCGUCUCUCUUGUGUUGGCGUGACACCGAGCUUAUAGUCUUCGUUAGGACCAUCUUGUUACUUGCUCACUUCCUUGGUCGCGCUAACCUCAUUGAUCUUCUUGUGUGUGUUUCCGUGUUUCCUUGACAUAGAUCACCACUUUUGACAUUUGACUUUGGAUCUUACCCACAUUUGACAAUAGACUUUUCCGUUGAUCUUUUUCGUUUGCUAUCCACCCUUACCCACCACAUAUAGAGUUCUUAGCCUUUUGCGUGUGCUUUGAGUGUGUGUGUGAGUAACCCCGAUACAUUUCGACUUUGCUCUUGGCUUGAACCAUUUUCCGAUACUUUCUUGAUAGGUGAGAUACUUGUGUAGUUUUCCUUCCACCAUACAUAUACACCUAUCCUAGUGAGAUAUACAUGAUGACCCCACAAGAACAAGCCGAGAUGAGAGCAUACUUCGCCGAGCUAGAUGCUCGAGAAGCCCAAAUGACACCCAAAGAAAAAGCCGAGUGCAACGCAUACUUCAAACACCUUGAGAGCAAGAGUGAUACACCCCAUGAGUCGAGUGAGGAUGUUUCGAUUUCUAACAACUUAACCUCUACUCCUCUUGUGUUGUCUUCCUCUUUGCUAGGUUGCUCGGACAUCGACGACGCUAUUGCCAUGGAGAUGAGGGACUCCACUAUAUGUGAGAUGAGCGACUCCACUAUAUGUGAGAUGAGUGACUCCACUGUAUGUGAGCUUGAUGAGUGCCUCCACUUCGAGAGCAUGAGUGAUACACCGUGUGAGAUGAGAGUGGUAGUUGAUAGGUCUUGUGAGGCCAUUUCGAAUUCUAACAACUUACCCUCUACCUCUAGUGUGUUCCCUCGUGUCUCAUUAGGUUCCAUGGAUGACGAGACGCCGAUCAUGGAGAAGAUGUACAUGGUGCAUGAAGAUGAUGAUAUCACACCAUGCUUGUUGCUUGAAGAUGAACAUGGAGGCCACGUCGAGCCUACCUCUUCCACAACACCUACCUCAUAUGAGCGGGACUACAAAGGUACCUAUAUGGGUGUUGAUGAUGCCAUGAUCCCACUAGUGGACAUGAUGAUUUGUGAGUGCUUGCAUGAGUUGGAUGAUCCUAUUGCCAUGUCAUAUGCUUCGUUCUUAUUCCCAUGUGAUGCUUUGCUUGAUAACAUUGUUGAUCAUGUGGAAUUAGUUGCUUAUGAUAAUAUGUCCAUGCCAUGCUAUGAGAGUUUCCCUUUCUCUCCUAUUGCUUGCAACUUAUCGAACAAUUUCUCUUUCCCAUGUGUUGAUUGCAAUAAGGACAUUGAUGCUUGUGUUGUGACAACCUUGCCGAACAAUUGCUCUUUCCCUAGGUUUGUCGACAACAAUGAUCAAAUGUUGAACAUGUUUUGUGCUACAUGCUUGCAAUAUUCUCCCAUUAAUGCAACCAAAAUGAUGAACAAUUUCUCUUUCCAAUGCUUGGCUUGCAAUAGUGUUAAUAUGCUUGUAAAUGAGAUUGCCCCCAUAGCUCUCUCAAAUUUUGGAGACUUUGCAUAUAUCCAUGUUGAUCAUGUUACCAUGUUUACUCCGCAUAUUCACCAUAUCUAUUAUGAUGCUUGGCUUAUCGCUAAUGGUGAUGUGCAAAAGAGAUGGACCAUCAUGAUGGAUGAUGUGUUCAUAUACCAUGCACACACGUUGUUCUUGUUGUCUAACAUGUGUGUAGGUACCCAAAAUCCAAUGUCAACCUCGAUUGAGCACGAGUUGACAAAAAGAGCUCUUGAGAGCAUGAUACAAGUGAGCUCCAAUGAGUGGUUUUGCCCGCACACUUCAACUACACAAGAUCUCUCAAUGAGAGCACACCGACACUUUGAUAAGGUGACCUCCUUCUACUUGCGCCCUCUUCCUAAAUCCAUUGAACUUUGGCUACGCUUUGAUUGCUCCUUUGCUUUUCUUGUGCUAUUGAUAGGGCUCUUGACAAGUGAAGGGACAUUCAAGCGUUGGUGUCAUCUACCUCCUCUACACAUUCAUGAAGACUCAUCGUCGAGGACGACUCUUUUUCAAGUGGGGGGAGAUGAUGUAGCCCGACCUACGGUCUUCGCUUCAUCAUGUGCUUCAACGACAAGAACCACACUCAAGGCCGAGGUCACGGAGGCAUGGAAGAGAAGAAGGAAGAAGAGCGCCCGAGGUCGCCAAGAAGAGACGGCGCAUGAAGCACGACUGCUCGGAUUAUCCGCCCCACUAAGGCCGGACAAUCCGCCCCCCCUAUGUGUCCAAGUCAAUUCGGGCCAAGUCCCAUGUACCCCCCUUGUAUGCCUAAACUACCCCUCCUUAGUGGCUCCCUAUAUAUAGGCUCCCACCUCCCCCUUCAUUAGGUUAGGAAUGAACUUGAGAGAAUUAGGCUCAUGCCUCCACCAUCCCUUUGGGAUUAGGGUAACCCCCUCCUUAGAUUAUCCAAAUCUAUUGUACAAGGCACUCCUUAUAUGAUUAGUCUCUCACACUUGUGAUUCUACCACCGGCCUCUCACUCGUGUGAUUCCACCGAUCGUAUACCGAUCUUCCUCUCGGGGAUUCUACCGUGUGUCUCUCCCUUGAGAGAUUCUAUCGGGAUAGUGGUUCGGGCUAUCGGGAGUAAACCGGAAUUGUAUCGGGUUGGUGUGUGUUUGCGUGUGUUCAUCGUGUUCA